GAUGAACGCUGGCGGCGUGCCUAAUACAUGCAAGUCGAGCGAACAGACGAGGAGCUUGCUCCUCUGACGUUAGCGGCGGACGGGUGAGUAACACGUGGAUAACCUACCUAUAAGACUGGGAUAACUUCGGGAAACCGGAGCUAAUACCGGAUAAUAUAUUGAACCGCAUGGUUCAAUAGUGAAAGACGGUUUUGCUGUCACUUAUAGAUGGAUCCGCGCCGCAUUAGCUAGUUGGUAAGGUAACGGCUUACCAAGGCGACGAUGCGUAGCCGACCUGAGAGGGUGAUCGGCCACACUGGAACUGAGACACGGUCCAGACUCCUACGGAGGCAGCAGUAGGGAAUCUUCCGCAAAGGGCGAAAGCCUGACGGAGCAACGCCGCGUGAGUGAUGAAGGUCUUCGGAUCGUAAAACUCUGUUAUUAGGGAAGAACAAAUGUGUAAGUAACUAUGCACGUCUUGACGGUACCUAAUCAGAAAGCCACGGCUAACUACGUG
RNAcentral lists this ribosomal RNA (496 nucleotides) under uncultured bacterium. RNAcentral's name for it is "partial 16S ribosomal RNA". It matches the Rfam family "Bacterial small subunit ribosomal RNA", at positions 28 to 507 of the family's 1533-position model. The record is from RNAcentral.